GACGCUGAAAAAGAUGCAGCUGCUGAAGCUCUGCAGUGGUUGACUGGUGAGACACAGUCGUCUUCUAAGGCUGUUGAACACAUGUCAGCACUUCUGAAGAAAAGCAAGAGUAAAAAGCAACUUCAUAGUACGAAAUGGAGGUAAUUGUCUUGGGUCACUAACCUGUCAGUCUCGCGGAUGAAGAGGUCCUUGCUGUCAUUAUAUUUCUUGGUUGAAUAGAAGACGAGCAACUUUUGGCCAAGAAGAUGCAGCUUGAAGGGUGUAUAUAAUCAUGUCUUAUUUGAUUGAAGAGGGUUGCUGACAAUCUUCGAGGAAGCUAGUGGAUUUAUGCAUUGGCAAUGUGGGAGGAAUGUAUCAAUCUGGCAACUUCCUAUUUUGGUGACUUCAUUAAUAUUCACUGCACUAUGUGGUCAUUCACUAACCUGACAGUCCCGCGGAUGAAGAGGUCCUUGCUGGCAUUAUAUUUCUUGGCUGAACAGAAACGAGUAACUUUUGGCCAAGAAAUGCAGCUUGAAGGGUGUAUAUAAUCAUGUCUUAUUGGACCUUCAUUUUUGAAGAGGGUUGCUGACAAUCUUCGAGGAAGCUAGUGGAUUUAUGCAUUGGCAAUGUGAGAGGCAUGUGUCAAUACGGCAACUUCCUAUUUGGUGACUUGAUUAAUAUUCACUGCACUAAGUGG
Molecule: long non-coding RNA, 676 nt
Filed under: Nicotiana benthamiana
Lineage: Eukaryota; Viridiplantae; Streptophyta; Magnoliopsida; Solanales; Solanaceae
Description: long non-coding RNA (NBEN_LNC007470)
Source: RNAcentral